UUUAUCAUUCUCUAGGAAAAAACUCAACACAGAAACUCAGAAAGAGAUCAUUUAUUCGUGAUUUGAUCGAGAGAGAGAGGGACUGAUUGAUUGAUUUGAUCGUGAUUUGAACGAGAAUAUUGAUGAUUAGAGACUCUUACUCAAGAAGUAAAUCAUUAAUCAUGAAUCUAAUCGAUUGUUUGGAAGUUAGUUUUUUUCCCCCAAAUCGAUUGUGUAUUUGCAUGUUCGAGUGUUUGAAUAUUUAUGUAUUUAACUGUUAGAAGCAAUCAUGUUCUUCUUUUAGCUUUUUCAUUACAACUCAAUUCAGAUAAAAUUAGGGUGUUUCGAUUUUGAUUUUGAUUAUUGGGUUUUCGAUUUGGAAUUGUUAGGGGGUUUAUAUGAAAUCUCAUGCUUUACCAAUUGGAGUGGUGGUGAGUGUUGGGUAGAUUUUAUCAUGUUUACGAUGUUCAACUACUGUGACUGUCACAGUAGUAAUUGGUUUGGGUGAAAACCUCAUUGUUAUGCAAUCUUUGAAUCCCUAAGUGGUGGAGGUGAAGCCUGUUAGUUGUUUCCCCAAAUAGAAGAAGAAGAAGAAGAAUUUUUUCCUUAGAUUCACUUUAGGGUGAUUUCCAAUCUGAUAAGCCCUCAAAAAACUUAAGAUUUUGGUUAUCUUUUAGAUGACUGAUUGUUGAAAACUAAUUAGGUUAGUCUGAUUAUUGAGAAUUGAUGUUGAAAACUAAUUAGGUAAGAAAAAGUAAUUUAUGCAAUUCAGUUUUGGAAAAUUUGUCAGGUAAGAAUAUACAGAUGCCAUCUGACAUGGGAUAUGAAGAAUUGAUGUUAAUAAAUCAUACAAAGCUCUAUCUUUUUGUCGUAUGGCUUCCAUCUGACAAUGUAGAAGAUAGUGGAAGGUGGACCUAUACUUUAAGGCCAUGCAUAGUAGUUUCAAACUUGACCAUUAUCCAUGUAUAGAUGUUAUAUUGUGUCAUUAACCUAAGCAAUAUAGACUAAUUGAUUUCCUGACUAAUUCUUUUUGGCGCACAAUUUUUGGUGUACUCCUCCAACACUAUAUUGACUUCCUCCUGUGAAGUCAUCUGUACAAUUCAACCUUAAAUGCAAGUUGCAGGUAUAAAAUAUGUAUUAUCUGCACUUAUUUUGUGGGUAACCCAUCAAAAUCUCACUGUAUUUCCAAUAAAAUAAUCUUCUAGAGUUUGUUAGCAGAUUAAUAAUGAAAUUCACCCCACAAUCAUCUUGAACAAUAUUAUCUUUAGUGGUUACUUGAUCUUAUGUGUAUUUGAAGUCACUGAAAUUCUCAUUCACUUCAGCAUUACCUUGUCUUUCUGCCAUUGAUAUAUCAAACCAUAUAAGGUAUUUAGUGUUUUGAUUAGUAAAUAAAACCACAUAAGUCCUAUUUGAAAUAUAACAGUAUUUCAAACUCAUCUUGUUGAACAAUAUUAGUAUCAGUUUUGUUGGAAAGGUGAUUUGUAACUGUACUUAUGUGAAGAACCGUGAAAUUUUGAUUAGAAUCAAUAGUUUUGUUUGAUCAAGUUGGGGUUCUUAUUUUUUGUUUGACCAAGUUAGAUUCAUACUGUGUUAGCUCCAUGCUUAGUUUAGUUGCUUCUUCUUUUUCUUUUCUUGUUCUGAUGCUGCCAUAUACUGUUGGUUAUAUGUGAAUGAAUCAAACAAGGAUGUUAUAGCGUCUUGUUUCCUUUGCUUUUCAUUAAGUCCAGAUUUAGUCCAAGCAUUGCCAUGCUUAAGUGAUUGGAUGCCAGACUUCUUUGAUGCAGAUAUGAAAGUCCUCGACUGAAGUUGAUGCAAUGAUGCAACGUGCAACCAGGCAGCCAAGGAAGAUCAUCACUAGCAGUCUAGCCUGUUGACAUUGUUGUUAAGUUCUGUGUCACAAGAAGAUGGUUUUUUGUUUUUUUGUUUUUUGUUGUUGUGUACUUUAGUUUGCAGACUAUUGGGUGUUUGUAGUUUGUUUUUUCAUGUAUGGUGUGACUGAGACACUGAAAGUGGUA
Molecule: long non-coding RNA, 1994 nt
Organism: Papaver somniferum (opium poppy)
Lineage: Eukaryota; Viridiplantae; Streptophyta; Magnoliopsida; Ranunculales; Papaveraceae
Exons: 2
Source: RefSeq, a predicted model, not a curated record